ACAAAUAGGGUUUUUGGAUGUCUCUGUGGUUGAGAGUGAUGGUUAUUUAAACCUCUUCUAGAGUAUCAAGUGGAGGGCUGUCUGGUGCCACCCUCCGCGUUAAUUCCUGCUCCAAUAGAUAUAUUAAAAUUGUUGCAAUUAAAAACCUCGUACUUGAAUUUCUGCUGCAUUGCAUCUUCGUUUUGAUGAGAUGGUGUAUUGUGGCUUAAUUGUGAUGAUUUAUGUAUUAUCCGGAUGAGUACUUUUAAAAGAUUGUGUGCUCAAUGCAGGCUUUUGCCUUGAAUAAUUUUGCAUGAAGUAAUAAAUUACGACUUUGGUUCUAUUUUGUUGGUUUUAUGUACCAGAGUAAUGGUGAAAAUACCGAAGUGGGAGCA
RNAcentral lists this ribosomal RNA (374 nucleotides) under Theileria sp. ZC-2014. RNAcentral describes it as "bacterial SSU rRNA". It matches the Rfam family "Eukaryotic small subunit ribosomal RNA", at positions 473 to 890 of the family's 1831-position model. The record is from RNAcentral. Lineage: Eukaryota; Apicomplexa; Aconoidasida; Piroplasmida; Theileriidae.